UCCAGGGUUAUUGGACCGCCGGCGGUUCAAUGUCGCCGGGCCCCCACCGCGGCCGCCGGCGUAACGCCGUGCGUCGGCCCGUCCGCCGUCGUGUCGUGUUGUCCCGGGCGCGCGGCGAGCGAGAGAGCGAGAGCGAGCCGGCUUUAUCCCGCGCACACGCAUAUGAUGUGUGGGGUGUGUGUGUGUGUGUGUGUGUAUGGUACACCGAUUUGCGCCUUUUACUCUCGACGACGACGGCGGUGGCGGUUACGCGUUGUUGUUUACUUCACUUCCGAUUCGCACUAUCCCGCACGCUCGUCGUUAUAAUAUGCGCGCGCGUUCUCUUCCUUGUUCCGGACAACGCGGCAUUGAGACUUUAAUGUACAUGUAAUGUCGAAGUGUUUGCGAGUGUGUGUGUCUGUGUGUGUGUAUGAGUGUGAGUGUACGCCCAGGACCUUGGGCGUGAAGGUGGCCGCUUGGAUCGAGUCUGUAUAUUAUCUCCUUUAUUAUACAUAAUAAAGAUGAUCGAGUGCAGUUCGAAAAACACCGAGCAACCCAUAUCAUAUUAUAUCAAACUAUGCCUACCAAAGUAAAUAUUUAAUUAGUAAGUAAU
This is a long non-coding RNA of Acyrthosiphon pisum (pea aphid), 592 nucleotides long. RefSeq lists it as uncharacterized. The record is from RefSeq and is a predicted model, not a curated record. The transcript has 2 exons. Lineage: Eukaryota; Metazoa; Arthropoda; Insecta; Hemiptera; Aphididae.